AUGGAAUUUAGAGUUUGUACUACCAUUUAUCUUGCAGACAAUGAGGUUGAUGGUGACACAGUUGACUGCGGUCUUACUGAGACUAUGGUUGCAUACCUUUUCCAAGGAUCCUUCAAAAAGCAGGUUAAAUUCAACCAAUUUGUGUCAAGGAUGAAGGAAUCUUCAGUGACGCUGACUCUACAGACUGUCUCUCCAGAAGACUGGCAACCAUCUACUUCGUCAACUUCAAUAAGGUAUCCCACAAAUUCUGAAUAUGUGCAAGCUGUGAAGACGCUGGUAAUGAAGUAUCCUUUCCUCAAGGAUCGUGAGGGAAAUGGUUAUGGACCAUGCGUCCAAGGAGAGGAUUUAUUAUCCAUAGACGCCCACUUAAAGGUCUUACAGUGCCAAUAUCAGAAGAUGCAACCAGAUACCAUGGUGGUUCAUAACCGUAUGCAGCAAACGUUUGCUUGGCGGCAAAAAGAAAUUGCAGAUGGUAUGCCUGUGGAGGAUGUGUUGAAGAAGUACCCCUUCUUAGGGAUGCCUACUGGUCUGUGCAACGAACUCGGGUGGAUCCAACCAACAACGGGUAAUGUAAGCCAGCGAUUUCGUGAAGGGCUCUCAUGUGUUGCAGCAAGGGUGAUUGAUCUUACACGAGGGAAAACCCCACUUUACCAGCUCUACCUUGAUGCAAGAGAGGAGGCUCUCACUGAUGACCUACCAGGUAUUUGCUUUUUUUUUUAA
Molecule: long non-coding RNA, 720 nt
Filed under: Oreochromis niloticus (Nile tilapia)
Lineage: Eukaryota; Metazoa; Chordata; Actinopteri; Cichliformes; Cichlidae
Description: lncRNA (ENSONIG00000022506.2)
Source: RNAcentral